UAGGUGACAAGCGUUGUCCGGAUUUACUGGGUGUAAAGGGCGCGUAGGCGGAAUGUCAAGUCAGUCGUGAAAUACCGAAGCUUAACUUCGGGGCUGCGAUUGAAACUGACAGCCUUGAGUAUCGGGGAGGAAAGCGGAAUUCCUAGUGUAGCGGUGAAAUGCGUAGAUAUUAGGAGGAACACCAGUGGCGAAGGCGGCUUUCUGGACGACAACUGACGCUGAGGCGCGAAAGUGUGGGGAGCAAA
This 245-nucleotide ribosomal RNA is filed under the name uncultured bacterium. RNAcentral describes it as "partial 16S ribosomal RNA". It matches the Rfam family "Bacterial small subunit ribosomal RNA", at positions 528 to 772 of the family's 1533-position model. The record is from RNAcentral.